Long non-coding RNA from Etheostoma cragini (Arkansas darter), 469 nucleotides. RefSeq lists it as uncharacterized. The transcript has 3 exons. Lineage: Eukaryota; Metazoa; Chordata; Actinopteri; Perciformes; Percidae. The record is from RefSeq and is a predicted model, not a curated record.
ACGGGCCAGUUGGUUUUAGGUAAAGAAGAAUUGACCUGUAGGGUUUAGAAAAACGAAGAAGAACGGGGCAGUUGUGUUUAGGUACAGAAGAACGGUCCGGUUUGGUUUAGGUAAAGAAGAACGGGACGGUUUGGUUUAGGUAAAGAAGAACGGGACGGUUGGGUUUAGGUAAAGAAGAACAGGACAGUUGGGUUUAGGUAAAGAAGAACAGGACGGUUGGAUUUAGGUAUAGAAGAACGGGCCAGUUGGGUUUAGGAAGAGAAGAACGGGCCAGUUGGUUUUAGGUAAAGAAGAACGGGCCGGUUUGGUUUAGGUAAAGAAGAACGGGCCGGUUUGCUUUAGAUAAAGAAGAACGGGCCGGUUUGGUUUAGGUAAAGAAGAACGGGCCGGUUUGGUUUAGGGAAAGAAGAACGGGACGGUUUGGUUUAGGUAUAGAAGAACGGGACGUCGGGUUUAGGUAAAGAAGAAC